AUACGUAGGGGGCGAGCGUUGUCCGGAAUGAUUGGGCGUAAAGGGCGCGUAGGCGGCCCGGUAAGUCUGGAGUGAAAGUCCUGUUUUUAAGAUGGGAAUUGCUUUGGAUACUGUCGGGCUUGAGUGCAGGAGAGGUAAGUGGAAUUCCCAGUGUAGCGGUGAAAUGCGUAGAGAUUGGGAUGAACACCAGUGGCGAAGGCGACUUACUGGACUGUAACUGACGCUGAGGCGCGAAAGUGUGGGGAGCAAACAGGAUUAGAUACCCUGGUAGUCCACACUGUAAACGAUGAAUGCUAGGUGUAGGGGGUAUCGACCCCUUCUGUGCCGCAGUCAACACAAUAAGCAUUCCGCCUGGGGAGUACGGCCGCAAGGUUGAAACUCAAAUGAAUUGACGGGG
Molecule: ribosomal RNA, 397 nt
Filed under: uncultured bacterium
Lineage: Bacteria
Description: partial 16S ribosomal RNA
Rfam family: Bacterial small subunit ribosomal RNA
Source: RNAcentral